Molecule: unclassified non-coding RNA, 291 nt
Filed under: Glomus sp.
Lineage: Eukaryota; Fungi; Glomeromycota; Glomeromycetes; Glomerales; Glomeraceae
Description: partial contains 5.8S ribosomal RNA and internal transcribed spacer 2
Rfam family: 5.8S ribosomal RNA (bases 1-71)
Source: RNAcentral
GUGAAUCAUCAAAUUUUUGAAUGCAGAUUGCACUUUCUGGUAUUCCGGUAAGUAUUUCUGUUUGAGGGUCAGAUAAAUCAAAAUCGGUGUUGUUGCUGCCUUUCGUUGUUCCGCAUCGGAAUUAGGUCGUCUUACCUUCGGUUAAGUGACUUAAAAUUUUUGCUUGAUUUUCGAACGUAUUUAAAUCGCUUACGUACGUUUCAGAUAUCGAAUACUUUAUUAGUAUCGGUCGUCCUCAUGAUUCGCACCUAUAAUUUUUCAUUAAAUGACCUCAAAUCAGGUCAGAAUCCC